Molecule: ribosomal RNA, 590 nt
Filed under: uncultured bacterium
Lineage: Bacteria
Description: bacterial SSU rRNA
Rfam family: Bacterial small subunit ribosomal RNA
Source: RNAcentral
AACGGACUCGUAUUGAAACCUAGUGAUAUAUGAGUUAGUGGCGGACGGGUGAGUAACGCGUGGAUAACCUGCCGUAUACAGGGGGAUAACACUUAGAAAUAGGUGCUAAUACCGCAUAAGCGCACAGCUUUGCAUGAAGCAGUGUGAAAAGCAAAAAGUUAAAACUUUUAGCGGUAUACGAUGGAUCCGCGUCUGAUUAGCCAGUUGGCGGGGUAACGGCCCACCAAAGCGACGAUCAGUAGCCGGCCUGAGAGGGCGGACGGCCACAUUGGGACUGAGACACGGCCCAGACUCCUACGGGAGGCAGCAGUGGGGAAUAUUGCACAAUGGGGGAAACCCUGAUACAGCGACGCCGCGUGAGUGAAGAAGUAAUUCGUUACGUAAAGCUCUAUCAGCAGGGAAGAAAAUGACGGUACCUGAGUAAGAAGCCCCGGCUAACUACGUGCCAGCAGCCGCGGUAAUACGUAGGGGGCAAGCGUUAUCCGGAUUUACUGGGUGUAAAGGGAGCGUAGACGGUACGCCAAGUCUGAAGUGAAAUGCCGCAGCUUAACUGCGGAACUGCUUUGGAAACUGGCGGGCUGGAGUGCGGG